RNAcentral lists this ribosomal RNA (253 nucleotides) under uncultured bacterium. RNAcentral's name for it is "partial 16S ribosomal RNA". It matches the Rfam family "Bacterial small subunit ribosomal RNA", at positions 524 to 776 of the family's 1533-position model. The record is from RNAcentral.
UACAGAGGUCUCAAGCGUUGUUCGGAUUCAUUGGGCGUAAAGGGUGCGUAGGCGGCGCGGUAAGUCGGGUGUGAAAUCUCGGAGCUUAACUCCGAAACUGCAUUCGAUACUGCCGUGCUUGAGGACUGGAGAGGAGACUGGAAUUUACGGUGUAGCGGUAAAAUGCGUAGAUAUCGUAAGGAAGACCAGUGGCGAAGGCGGGUCUCUGGGCAGUAACUGACGCUGAGGAGCGAAAGCGUGGGGAGCGAACAGG